GAUGAAGAACGUAGCGAAAUGCGAUAAGUAGUGUGAAUUGCAGAAUUCAGUGAAUCAUCGAAUCUUUGAACGCACAUUGCGCCUUUUGGUAAUCCAAAGGGCAUGCCUGUUCGAGCGUCAUUUGUACCCUCAAGCUUUGCUUGGUGUUGGGCGUCUUGUCUCUAGCUUUGCUGGAGACUCGCCUUAAAGUAAUUGGCAGCCGGCCUACUGGUUUCGGAGCGCAGCACAAGUCGCACUCUCUAUCAGCAAAGGUCUAGCAUCCAUUAAGCCUUUUUUUCAACUUUUGACCUCGGAUCAGGUAGGGAUACCCGCUGAACUUAAGCAUAUCAAUAAGCGGAGGA
RNAcentral lists this unclassified non-coding RNA (341 nucleotides) under soil metagenome. Its description in RNAcentral is "partial contains 5.8S ribosomal RNA, internal transcribed spacer 2, and large subunit ribosomal RNA". The stretch from base 1 to 120 matches the Rfam family "5.8S ribosomal RNA", at positions 35 to 154 of the family's 154-position model. The record is from RNAcentral.